This is a non-coding RNA of Podarcis lilfordi (Lilford's wall lizard), 68 nucleotides long. NCBI's taxonomy places the organism in Eukaryota, Metazoa, Chordata, Lepidosauria, Squamata, Lacertidae. The record is from the annotation of a GenBank genome assembly.
GAUAGCUUAAUCGGUAGAGCAUGAGAUUCUUAAUCUCAGGGUUGUGGGUUUGAGCCCCAUGUUGGACA